CCUACGGGUGGCAGCAGUGAGGAAUAUUGGUCAAUGGACGAGAGUCUGAACCAGCCAAGUAGCGUGAAGGAUGACUGCCCUAUGGGUUGUAAACUUCUUUUAUAUGGGAAUAAAAUGUUCCACGUGUGGGAUUUUGUAUGUACCAUAUGAAUAAGGAUCGGCUAACUCCGUGCCAGCAGCCGCGGUAAUACGGAGGAUCCGAGCGUUAUCCGGAUUUAUUGGGUUUAAAGGGAGCGUAGGUGGAUUGUUAAGUCAGUUGUGAAAGUUUGCGGCUCAACCGUAAAAUUGCAGUUGAAACUGGCAGUCUUGAGUACAGUAGAGGUGGGCGGAAUUCGUGGUGUAGCGGUGAAAUGCAUAGAUAUCGCGCAGAACCCCGAUUGCGAAGGCAGCGUGCCGUGCCGCCACUGACGCUGAGGCACGAAAGCGCGGGGAUCGAACAGGAUUAGAUACCCCUGUAGUC
RNAcentral lists this ribosomal RNA (460 nucleotides) under uncultured bacterium. RNAcentral's name for it is "partial 16S ribosomal RNA". It matches the Rfam family "Bacterial small subunit ribosomal RNA", at positions 338 to 795 of the family's 1533-position model. The record is from RNAcentral.